Molecule: ribosomal RNA, 159 nt
Filed under: Volvariella volvacea
Lineage: Eukaryota; Fungi; Basidiomycota; Agaricomycetes; Agaricales; Pluteaceae
Description: 5.8S ribosomal RNA
Rfam family: 5.8S ribosomal RNA
About the family: 5.8S ribosomal RNA (5.8S rRNA) is a component of the large subunit of the eukaryotic ribosome. It is transcribed by RNA polymerase I as part of the 45S precursor that also contains 18S and 28S rRNA.
Source: RNAcentral
CAACUUUCAACAACGGAUCUCUUGGCUCUCGCAUCGAUGAAGAACGCAGCGAAAUGCGAUAAGUAAUGUGAAUUGCAGAAUUCAGUGAAUCAUCGAAUCUUUGAACGCACCUUGCGCUCUUUGGCCAUUCCGAAGAGCAUGCCUGUUUGAGUGUCAUCG